AGCAGCCGCGGUAAUUCCAGCUCCAAUAGCGUAUAUUAAAGUUGUUGCAGUUAAAAAGCUCGUAGUUGAAUUUCGGGACCAAUAUGUCGGUCGUGCUUCGGUACGUACUUGCAUUAUUGGUUUCUCCCUUCUGAAGAACCAUGAUGUCAUUAAUUUGGUGUCUUGGGGAAUCAGGACUGUUACUUUGAAAAAAUUAGAGUGUUUAAAGCAGGCAUACGCUUGAAUACAUUAGCAUGGAAUAAUGAAAUAGGACGUUUGAUUCUAUUUUGUUGGUUUCUAGGAUCGACGUAAUGAUUAAUAGGGAUAGUUGGGGGCAUUAGUAUUCAAUUGUCAGAGGUGAAAUUCUUGGAUUUAUUGAAGACUAACUACUGCGAAAGCAUUUGCCAAGGAUGUUUUCAUUAAUCAAGAACGAAAGUUAGAGGAUCGAAGACGAUCAGAUACCGUCGUAGUCUUAACCAUAAACUAUGCCGAUAGGAUCGGAUGAUGUUAUUUUGAUGACUCAUUC
Molecule: ribosomal RNA, 505 nt
Filed under: uncultured Glomus
Lineage: Eukaryota; Fungi; Glomeromycota; Glomeromycetes; Glomerales; Glomeraceae
Description: SSU rRNA
Rfam family: Eukaryotic small subunit ribosomal RNA
Source: RNAcentral